This 249-nucleotide ribosomal RNA is filed under the name uncultured bacterium. Its description in RNAcentral is "partial 16S ribosomal RNA". It matches the Rfam family "Bacterial small subunit ribosomal RNA", at positions 556 to 793 of the family's 1533-position model. The record is from RNAcentral.
GGGCGUAAAGACGCAUGCAGGUGGUUUGGUUUAAGUUCAGAUGUGAAAGACCCGGGCGUCAACCUACGGAAUAGCAUUUAGUAAACUAGGCAGACUAGAGUACUGUAGAGGGGGGUAGGAAUUUCAGGUGUAGCGGUGAAAUGCGUAGAGAUCUGAAGGAAUACCGGUGGCGAAGGCGGCCCCCUCGGACAGAUACUGACACUCAGAUGCGAAAGCGUGGGGAGCAAACAGGAUUAGAUACCCUGGUAG